AAUAAAGUGCCUGAAAAAGGAUUAUUCUGAUAGGAUAAAUUAUGUAAAUCUAUAUUACCUUUAUUA
Molecule: transfer RNA, 66 nt
Filed under: Zeuzera multistrigata
Lineage: Eukaryota; Metazoa; Arthropoda; Insecta; Lepidoptera; Cossidae
Description: tRNA-Ile
Source: RNAcentral